UAGUGGAAAAAAGGCUUGAUGGCCAUUUUUUUGUUGGCUAUUGAAGUGCUGAUGCGUGUGUUUCGGAGAUGUUUAUGAGGACCUGACAGGGUGUUUAAGAAAGAAGGAACCAUCUCUACUUCCUGAGAGGCAGAGAGGAGGAGGAGGAGACAAUAUGCUGAGCAACCUUUUCACCAUGCUGAGACAGUUCACUGAGAGCAACUUCCAGUCAUCGGCCAUGUUUGAUGUUACCGAGACGACAACGGACGCAGAGGGUGGGAGUUCAGAGAGCACUUUGGGCUCGUCCGUCACGGCCUGCAAGAAGGUACACAACUCAGUGUGUGUGUGUGUGUGUGUGUGUGACUGAUGUUUGCAUGAAUUAAUAGUGAGAUGGAUUAUUUGCCUUUCAUAAACUUAACAACAGGGCAGUAUAAAGAAAUGGAAAGAGUGAGAGACACACACAGUACAAGAGAGAGAUGGAGAGAAAGUGUGACAU
Clupea harengus (Atlantic herring) is the source of this 475-nucleotide long non-coding RNA. RefSeq lists it as uncharacterized. Lineage: Eukaryota; Metazoa; Chordata; Actinopteri; Clupeiformes; Clupeidae. The transcript has 3 exons. The record is from RefSeq and is a predicted model, not a curated record.